GUAUGAACAGGUAGACGAAGAUCGUUAACAAUAAACAAAUGAUCGAGAGCAGCCGCACUGCAAAGGAUAUUGGAAACGGAUCAGCGAUAGAUUAAGCAUAAGGAACGCUCGUUAUUGUGGAGGACCAAAGAGCCAUCCAGCUGGCGAUCUACAGUGUGAUAGCCGAGAGCUUAGAGUAUACCUCGACAGUAUGGACCCACAUCUGCGAUUGGAAUAUGAACUGAAUCAUCAACAAGAAUGUUAUGAUCUACAGGACACUCCAGGCUUCAGACUGGAAGUACGCCGAGAUACGGUUUUGGGCGGGAUCUCUGAGAGCCGGCGUUCAGUGAUCUGAUCAAGAAGAAAUCACCUUGACA
Drosophila novamexicana is the source of this 356-nucleotide long non-coding RNA. RefSeq lists it as uncharacterized. The record is from RefSeq and is a predicted model, not a curated record. The transcript has 3 exons. Lineage: Eukaryota; Metazoa; Arthropoda; Insecta; Diptera; Drosophilidae.